Molecule: long non-coding RNA, 1236 nt
Filed under: Callithrix jacchus (white-tufted-ear marmoset)
Lineage: Eukaryota; Metazoa; Chordata; Mammalia; Primates; Cebidae
Description: lncRNA (ENSCJAG00000072020.1)
Source: RNAcentral
AUGAAGGGUGACAUUCCACCAUCCAGCCAGUCAGAACAACCAAAAGCAGAAAUCAGCAUUUCAGUAGGUUUUCCAACCAGUUCUUUCUCCUGUCUCACACUUCAUAUUAAAGUGGCCUUUAGCAACUGGGAAACACGUGUAACUGUUACAACUAUGGCAUCAUAUUCACCAUCGUCUUCGCCAUCACCGUCAGCACCACCUUCAGCAGCACCAGCAGCAUCAUUGUCUUCAUCAACAUCAUUGAAUUUGUUGAUUUCAUUCUAUUGGCCAUGAAUCAUGGUAAAGUAAUUUACAUGGAUUUUUCUCAAUUAAUAUUCACUCUAACCUUAUGUGAUUUCCAUAGAUUGUCACCACUCACAGAUAAGUAGCAGAGUCUUAGGAAGUUAGCUAAAAUAGCAUAGCUAAUAAAUAAAUGUCAGAGUGUACAAAUAGUACAUCCCUGGAUCCUGCUUUAUGAAUUGUAUUUUAGAGUGAGUGGAGUAACAUCUUGCUGAAUACAUUUCUAUGUCACCUACCUCAUGUAUCUGUUGUAACAUUAAGGCAAAGUACUUCCCGUGAAGCAGGAAAAUACUGAUCAAUGUGAAAUAUAAGAACAUCUAAAAAUAUUCUCACUAUUUAUUAAUAGUCUCAUGAAUAAAUAAGCUUAUAAAGACAUAAAAAGUAAAUAAGUUUAGGCUGUGAAGUAAUGCAUAUAAAUAUACGUGGAGAAAAGAGGUAGAAUUGUCCAAAUAUUAUGAUACUAUUAGUUUUGAACAUAGACUUGUUUCAUAGGACAUGAUAUAAUUAUAAUGUACUUUUCUUCCAUCUGCAAUAUAUAGUUUUCUAACUCCCAGGAUCUUUUCAGUGUUUGAGACUCACCUGGAACUCUGAAAGAAGACAGGAAAGCUUUCCAGCACAUUCUUUUUCAGCAACUCAGGAGGCCAUGAACAGAUUUCUAUAGAUAAUGUUCAAUUUUAUAAUAUCAGUCUUAUGUGACUAAACUUACAUGGAACCAAAAUUUUGCAAUGGCUCUGAUAAACUUUAAUAUUAGUUAAUUUAAAAAGGUUAUUAAUUUUAAAUUUUAUUAGUCAAAUAGAACUUUUGAAAUUCAAUACCAUAAAAUAACAUACCAUAGUGAGAUUUUUAUAUGUGAAAAUGUGAAAUCACUUUUAUUGUAGCUUUUCUUGUAUCAUGCCAGUGUAAAUAUACCAAUUACUUUGUUAAUAGGUCUGGUCACUCUAUGGGAUAUGCCCACAA